This 420-nucleotide ribosomal RNA is filed under the name bacterium Ellin6088. RNAcentral's name for it is "bacterial SSU rRNA". It matches the Rfam family "Bacterial small subunit ribosomal RNA", at positions 28 to 442 of the family's 1533-position model. Lineage: Bacteria; Bacillati; Actinomycetota; Acidimicrobiia. The record is from RNAcentral.
GACGAACGCUGGCGGCGUGCCUAACACAUGCAAGUCGAACGAGGUCCAUGGAAGCUUGCUUCCAGAAGACCGAGUGGCGAACGGGUGAGUAACACGUGAGAAACCUGCCCUGGAGUGGGGAAUAACUCGAGGAAACUCGAGCUAAUACCGCAUACCCUCUGACGAUCGCAUGGUCGACAGAGGAAAGAAUUUCGCUCUAGGAGGGUCUCGCGGCCUAUCAGCUUGUUGGUGGGGUAAUGGCCCACCAAGGCUACGACGGGUAGCUGGUUUGAGAGAACGAUCAGCCACACUGGGACUGAGACACGGCCCAGACUCCUACGGGAGGCAGCAGUGGGGAAUCACGCGCAAUGGGCGAAAGCCUGACGCAGCAACGCCGCGUGCGGGAUGACGGCCUUCGUGGUUGUAAACCGCUUUCAGCAG